This 253-nucleotide ribosomal RNA is filed under the name uncultured bacterium. RNAcentral's name for it is "partial 16S ribosomal RNA". It matches the Rfam family "Bacterial small subunit ribosomal RNA", at positions 524 to 776 of the family's 1533-position model. The record is from RNAcentral.
UACGAAGGGUGCAAGCGUUACUCGGAAUUACUGGGCGUAAAGGGCGCGUAGGCGGCGACUCAAGUUAGAUGUGAAAGUCCUGGGCUUAACCUGGGGACUGCAUUUGAUACUGGGUUGCUUGAAUUCGGGAGAGGAUAGCGGAAUUCCCAGUGUAGAGGUGAAAUUCGUAGAUAUUGGGAAGAACACCGGUGGCGAAGGCGGCUAUCUGGACCGACAUUGACGCUGAGGCGCGAAAGCGUGGGGAGCAAACAGG